CUUUUCAAAUGUUUUCUGUGCCUUUGUAAACAUGUGUCUAUUAUACAUAAUUCAUGUGUAUUUUGUAUACAAUGAGAUUAUUUACGUAGUCUUUUAUACUACAUUUUUGGACAUUUUAUUGUCACAACUGCAGCAUAUUAACAGCUGGAAAUCUUGAGAUGCACUUUUCUUUGUUUUAUUGGUCAACACGUUUUUGUAUUUGCCUUUCUUGAUUCUGAGUGAAAAUCAAAAUUAGAGCAGUAGACAAUCAAACUUAAAACAAAGGAAACAAAAGCAUGAGUGAAUGUCCAUCAGAGGAACAAUUAGUCCCUCUGGAGUGGACCAGGAGGCAGGACUUGAAGGACAAGAUAACUUUCUUGGGAAAGGAGCCAGUGGAAGAAGGCUGGAGCCCAUGGAGUAGCUCAUCACCAUCUGGAGGCACAAGCUAUGGAGGUGCUGCCCCAGCACCAUUCUGAAGGGGAUUCACAGUCCACCAGGAUAAGCAUUUGCUAGGUGACCCAUGACGUCCUCACGUGAUGCACAGUUUGCUUAAGGUCUCAUUUAACAUAUUGAGUUUUCUCUACUUGUUCCUAAACUUGAUCUUCAGCACAUGUGACGGUGAAGUGAACGCGGGCAGAGAAUGAAC
RNAcentral lists this long non-coding RNA (625 nucleotides) under Marmota monax (woodchuck). Lineage: Eukaryota; Metazoa; Chordata; Mammalia; Rodentia; Sciuridae. The record is from RNAcentral.